UGGUAUAUUCUAUAACACAACUCAAUUUCCUUUCCCUUUUCUUUUUAAUAUUUUAAGUACUCAGAAGCUGUCUCCGUUUCCCCUGCAACUGGUUCUUAAAUAUUGCCGUUGAAAACUAUUCAAAACUAGUUUAUUAAAAUUUCAAACAAUAAACUUAGUUUUCUCGUACAAUAAAAGGGAAAAAAAAUCCCGUGUCCAGACCCAUUUUGUUGUUUUUUCUCCCUUGAUGACUUACCAAAAUUUCCAACUUUAAUUGUAAAAAAUCCCCACAUGGAUUUAGAUAAUCCUGCUGUUGCUUUUUAACCUCCGGCACCCGCGUUCCCAUGGCAUUUUAUCGUUCCUGAUCAUUUGCUGUUGUCUUAUUUGGUUCAGUUGGAGAAAAACAAUGAGAACGGAGUUGAAGAAGAAGAUAUCCAAGACUUCAUGGCCAAAUUUUAAUGUAAGGAAGUGGCUCAAUAAAAGGAGCAACGGUGAUAGCUUUCACCCAGAUUACUCUUUACCAGAGGGGUGGCUGAUGGAUUCGACAAACGAAUUGAAACAUUCCGCAGCGGUGAAGGAGGCGCCAUCUGUCAGUGACAUCGACACGCUCAACCCUAGGAUGUUCGUAGGGACGUGGAAUGUGGGAGGAAAGUCACCAAACCAAGGAUUGAACUUGAGGGAAUGGUUGAUGUUGCCUUCACCAGCUGAUAUCUAUGUCAUUGGGUUCCAAGAAAUUAUACCUCUAAACGCAGGGAACGUGCUUGGGCCAGAGGAUAGUGGCCCAGCAACGAAGUGGCUGACUCUGAUUCGUGAAGCCUUGAACUCUAACACCGGUGAAGAAAGUUGUACUACAUUAUGUAGCUCAAGUGAACAUGAAGAACAACCCUAUUAUUGCCUUGCAGCAAGUAAACAAAUGGUGGGUAUCUUCUUGUGCGUGUGGGUACGUGAGGAUCUUUACAAGCAUGUCACCAAUUUAAAAGUGUCUUGCGUUGGUAGAGGCAUCAUGGGCUAUCUGGGAAAUAAGGGUUCAGUAUCGAUUAGCAUGACAUUGUAUCACACGACGUUUUGCUUUGUUGGUACCCACUUGGCCUCUGGAGAGAAAGAUGGUGACGAGAUUCGAAGAAACUUAGACGUAUCAGAGAUCUUAAAGAAAACUAAAUUUUCUCACUCAUUCAAAGCUCUUGCCCAACCAUUCCCACCUCCUGAAACCAUAUUAGACCAUGACAAGAUUAUUUGGCUUGGGGAUUUGAAUUAUCGCCUUGCUGCUGGUUAUGAUGAUACACUUGAACUACUGAAAAAGAAUGAUUGGCAGGCACUGUUAGAGAAGGAUCAGCUGAGGAUAGAGCAAAGAGCUGGUAGAGUGUUCAAAGAAUGGAAGGAAGGGAAGAUAUACUUUGCUCCAACUUACAAAUACUUAUUUGAUUCUGACCAGUAUGUUGCUCAAACAAACAAGUCCAAGGAAAAACGACGAACACCGGCUUGGUGCGAUCGAAUUCUGUGGAAAGGAGAAGGCGUGGAGCAGUUAUGGUACGUGAGAGGAGAGUCAAAAUUCUCAGACCACAGGCCAGUGUAUUCACUGUUCUCGGUUCAGGUGGACAUGACAUGUAAGAAGCUAAGUUCCUGUGUUGUCUCAGCAUCAGAGAGUGGCUCAAUCUCAAUGUCAAGGUCAUGCUCCUCUAGAACCCUGACAAACGCUGCCUUGUCCUCUUCUUGCUUUGCUAAAGUUCAGGCAGAGGAACAACUAUUGUUACUAACCAGGGAACAUAGACACCACACCUGCAGGGUUCUCAGUUAGUACACAGGAAUAUGAUACUAUAUAUACACCAAGUGGUCACCACUCACCACUCACCACUUUCCGAGGAACAAAAGUAACACACAAGUGACACGACCAUCGAGUUGCCGCAGCUCGCGGUGUGCCCUGACAAGAGGAACAAUACCAAAAAUUCAGCAUAGAUUCUGAACUCAAGCGGAGGAAGUGCAUCGGAUGCGUGCUCCUUUUUUCUGAGCUUUUGGUAAACUAUAAGGUUUCCAUCUUCCAAAUGUUUGAUUGGUUAGUCCAUUUUGAUGGCCAUUUGAAGAAAAUUGUAAAUCAAAUUGUUUAUUACUUUUCCUGUUCAAUACAGUGUAUCGAAUUUUGUUAU
This is an RNA transcript of Vigna angularis (adzuki bean), 2120 nucleotides long. It is a transcript of the gene named type I inositol polyphosphate 5-phosphatase 8, with no coding region annotated. The transcript is spliced from 10 exons. Lineage: Eukaryota; Viridiplantae; Streptophyta; Magnoliopsida; Fabales; Fabaceae. The record is from RefSeq and is a predicted model, not a curated record.